AUUGAACGCUGGCGGAAUGCUUUACACAUGCAAGUCGAACGGCAGCACGGACUUCGGUCUGGUGGCGAGUGGCGAACGGGUGAGUAAUGUAUCGGAACGUGCCCAGUCGUGGGGGAUAACGUAGUGAAAAUUACGCUAAUACCGCAUACGAUCUAUGGAUGAAAGCGGGGGAUCGCAAGACCUCGCGCGAUUGGAGCGGCCGAUAUCAGAUUAGGUAGUCGGUGGGGUAAAGGCCCACCAAGCCAACGAUCUGUAGCUGGUCUGAGAGGACGACCAGUCACACUGGAACUGAGACACGGUCCAGACUCCUACGGGAGGCAGCAGUGGGGAAUUUUGGACAAUGGGCGAAAGCCUGAUCCAGCCAUUCCGCGUGCAGGAUGAAGGCCCUCGGGUUGUAAACUGCUUUUGUACAGAACGAAAAGGUUUCUACUAAUACUAGGAGCUCAUGACGGUACUGUAAGAAUAAGCACCGGCUAACUACGUGCCAGCAGCCGCCGUAA
RNAcentral lists this ribosomal RNA (500 nucleotides) under uncultured bacterium. RNAcentral's name for it is "partial 16S ribosomal RNA". It matches the Rfam family "Bacterial small subunit ribosomal RNA", at positions 30 to 523 of the family's 1533-position model. The record is from RNAcentral.